UACGAAGGGGGCUAGUGUUGCUCGGAAUCACUGGGCGUAAAGGGUGCGUAGGCGGGUCUUUAAGUCAGGGGUGAAAUCCUGGAGCUCAACUCCAGAACUGCCUUUGAUACUGAGGAUCUUGAGUUCGGGAGAGGUGAGUGGAACUGCGAGUGUAGAGGUGAAAUUCGUAGAUAUUCGCAAGAACACCAGUGGCGAAGGCGGCUCACUGGCCCGAUACUGACGCUGAGGCACGAAAGCGUGGGGAGCGAACAGG
Molecule: ribosomal RNA, 253 nt
Filed under: uncultured bacterium
Lineage: Bacteria
Description: partial 16S ribosomal RNA
Rfam family: Bacterial small subunit ribosomal RNA
Source: RNAcentral